ACGUUUGACUCCUAGGCUCAAGGCAACGCUGGCGGCGUGCCUAACACAUGCAAGUCGAACGGAGCUAGAUGCUGAGACGUAGCUUGCUAUUGAAUCUGUUUAGCUUAGUGGCGGACGGGUGAGUAACGCGUGAGCAACCUACCUUUCAGAGGGGGAUAACGUUUGGAAACGAACGCUAAUACCGCAUGAUAUUAUUGGGCAGCAUUGCCUGAUAAUCAAAGGAGCAAUCCGCUGAAAGAUGGGCUCGCGUCCGAUUAGGGUAGUUGGCGGGGUAACGGCCCACCAAGCCGACGAUCGGUAGCCGGACUGAGAGGUUGAACGGUCACAUUGGGACUGAGACACGGCCCAGACUCCUACGGGAGGCAGCAGUGAGGGAUAUUGGUCAAUGGGGGAAACCCUGAACCAGCAACGCCGCGUGAGGGAAGACGGUUUUCGGAUUGUAAACCUCUGUCCUCUGUGAAGAUGAUGACGGUAGCAGAGGAGGAAGCUCCGGCUAACUACGUG
RNAcentral lists this ribosomal RNA (504 nucleotides) under uncultured Oscillospiraceae bacterium. RNAcentral describes it as "bacterial SSU rRNA". It matches the Rfam family "Bacterial small subunit ribosomal RNA", at positions 1 to 507 of the family's 1533-position model. Lineage: Bacteria; Bacillati; Bacillota; Clostridia; Eubacteriales; Oscillospiraceae. The record is from RNAcentral.